CCUACGGGAGGCAGCAGUGGGGAAUAUUGCGCAAUGGGCGAAAGCCUGACGCAGCGACGCCGCGUGAGGGAUGAAGGCCUUCGGGUUGUAAACCUCUUUCAGCAGGGACGAAAUCAGACGGUACCUGCAGAAGAAGCACCGGCCAACUACGUGCCAGCAGCCGCGGUAAUACGUAGGGUGCAAGCGUUGUCCGGAAUUAUUGGGCGUAAAGAGCUCGUAGGCGGUUUGUCGCGUCGGCUGUGAAAACUCGGGGCUCAACCCCGAGCCUGCAGUCGAUACGGGCAGACUAGAGUGCUGUAGGGGAGACUGGAAUUCCUGGUGUAGCGGUGAAAUGCGCAGAUAUCAGGAGGAACACCGGUGGCGAAGGCGGGUCUCUGGGCAGUAACUGACGCUGAGGAGCGAAAGCGUGGGGAGCAAACAGGAUUAGAUACCCUGGUAGUCCACGCCGUAAACGGUGGGUGCUAGGUGUAGGUCGUAUUCCACGCGAUCUGUGCCGCNGCUACGCAUAAGCACCCGCCGUCGGGAGGUACGGCCGGCCGACGGACGUAAACGUAACUAAAGUAGUUAAGUUAGUACGGCGUUGAGACGNGCCGACGGACGACGACGAGGGAGGAGG
RNAcentral lists this ribosomal RNA (616 nucleotides) under uncultured bacterium. RNAcentral's name for it is "bacterial SSU rRNA". The stretch from base 1 to 518 matches the Rfam family "Bacterial small subunit ribosomal RNA", at positions 338 to 873 of the family's 1533-position model. The record is from RNAcentral.